Molecule: ribosomal RNA, 209 nt
Filed under: uncultured bacterium
Lineage: Bacteria
Description: partial 16S ribosomal RNA
Rfam family: Bacterial small subunit ribosomal RNA
Source: RNAcentral
UACGUAGGUGGCAAGCGUUGUCCGGAUUUAUUGGGCGUAAAGAGCGCGUAGGCGGUUUUUUAAGUCUGAUGUGAAAGCCCCCGGCUUAACCGGGGAGGGUCAUUUGAAACUGGGAGACUUGAGUGCAGAGGAGGAUAGUGGAAUUCCAUGUGUAGCGGUGAAAUGCGUAGAUAUAUGGUGGAACACCAGUGGCGAAGGCGGCUCUCUGG